GACGAACGCUGGGGGCGUGCCUAAUACAUGCAAGUAGAACGCUGAAGCGAGGAGCUUGCUCUUCUUGGAUGAGUUGCGAACGGGUGAGUAACGCGUAGGUAACCUGCCUUGUAGCGGGGGAUAACUAUUGGAAACGAUAGCUAAUACCGCAUAACAAUGGAUGACACAUGUCAUUUAUUUGAAAGGGGCAAUUGCUCCACUACAAGAUGGACCUGCGUUGUAUUAGCUAGUAGGUGAGGUAAUGGCUCACCUAGGCGACGAUACAUAGCCGACCUGAGAGGGUGAUCGGCCACACUGGGACUGAGACACGGCCCAGACUCCUACGGGAGGCAGCAGUAGGGAAUCUUCGGCAAUGGGGGCAACCCUGACCGAGCAACGCCGCGUGAGUGAAGAAGGUUUUCGGAUCGUAAAGCUCUGUUGUAAGUCAAGAACGGGUGUGAGAGUGGAAAGUUCACACUGUGACGGUAGCUUACCAGAAAGGGACGGCUAACUACGUG
Molecule: ribosomal RNA, 497 nt
Filed under: uncultured bacterium
Lineage: Bacteria
Description: partial 16S ribosomal RNA
Rfam family: Bacterial small subunit ribosomal RNA
Source: RNAcentral